AAUUUUAAAAAACUUGAUGCCUCUCUUCUGAGAAUGAGGCUUCUAUAAAUAAUAGAAAAGAGAAUCUUGCACAGUAAUAUGUGGGGUCCUGUGCAUAGUGUUUUUUACUGUUACAACUUACUGUUACAACAGAGAGUUUUAUCAACUAGUCAUAUCUUGUCUUGUCAUGUCUUGUCUUUUACUUUCCAUUUUUUGAUGAAUGCUUCGGCCUUUUCAAUCUCUUCUUCUUCUAUCAGAGCUUCGGGUGGUUGUGAAUCGGUAAUAUCUUCGGUAUUUGCAUCUGUGCUAUUCAUUGAAGCAUCCGAAUUUUGCUCAACAGUUUGAAGUAAUUUAUCUCGAACUUCUGAUAGAUAUUCUUCUAUUAAUUGCAUUUUAUUACCCUCAUGAGCUGAAAUUCUUCUGGAAACAUAAUUAA
This 415-nucleotide long non-coding RNA is filed under the name Capsicum annuum. RNAcentral's name for it is "long non-coding RNA (CANN_LNC008308)". The record is from RNAcentral. Lineage: Eukaryota; Viridiplantae; Streptophyta; Magnoliopsida; Solanales; Solanaceae.